Molecule: long non-coding RNA, 126 nt
Organism: Etheostoma cragini (Arkansas darter)
Lineage: Eukaryota; Metazoa; Chordata; Actinopteri; Perciformes; Percidae
Exons: 4
Source: RefSeq, a predicted model, not a curated record
UACAUGCCACCAGAGGCUUUUAAAUUAUCGUACAAACCUACCAGAUCCUGUGAUAUCUACAGUUAUGGGAUACUCCUUUGGUCCAUUGCCACAGGGAAACAACCAUAUGAAAAUAAGAACGCUGAC